UAAGGAAUAUUGGUCAAUGGAGGCAACUCUGAACCAGCCAUGCCGCGUGCAGGAAGACAGCCCUCUGGGUCGUAAACUGCUUUUAUUCGGGAAUAAACCUAUCUACGUGUAGAUAGCUGAAUGUACCGAAGGAAUAAGGAUCGGCUAACUCCGUGCCAGCAGCCGCGGUAAUACGGAGGAUCCAAGCGUUAUCCGGAUUUAUUGGGUUUAAAGGGUGCGUAGGCGGCUUAUUAAGUCAGGGGUGAAAGACGGUGGCUCAACCAUCGCAGUGCCCUUGAUACUGAUGAGCUUGAAUACACUAGAGGUAGGCGGAAUGUGACAAGUAGCGGUGAAAUGCAUAGAUAUGUCACAGAACACCGAUUGCGAAGGCAGCUUACUAUGGUGUGAUUGACGCUGAGGCACGAAAGCGUGGGGAUCAAACA
This 422-nucleotide ribosomal RNA is filed under the name uncultured Pedobacter sp. RNAcentral describes it as "bacterial SSU rRNA". It matches the Rfam family "Bacterial small subunit ribosomal RNA", at positions 355 to 774 of the family's 1533-position model. Lineage: Bacteria; Pseudomonadati; Bacteroidota; Sphingobacteriia; Sphingobacteriales; Sphingobacteriaceae. The record is from RNAcentral.